Molecule: ribosomal RNA, 864 nt
Filed under: uncultured Verrucomicrobiota bacterium
Lineage: Bacteria; Pseudomonadati; Verrucomicrobiota
Description: bacterial SSU rRNA
Rfam family: Bacterial small subunit ribosomal RNA
Source: RNAcentral
AUACAAGUAAUGGUCAGCGGCGCAAGGGUGCGUAACACGUGGGCAACCUGCCCGGAAAUGGGGGAUAGCUCGUCGAAAGGCGAAUUAAUACCGCAUGAGGGUAGAGGUGGAAUCACCUUGAGGCCAAAGUUGGGGCAACCUGACGCUUCGGGAUGGGCCCGCGGCCUAUCAGCUAGUUGGUGAGGUAACGGCUCACCAAGGCUAUGACGGGUAGCUGGUCUGAGAGGACGACCAGCCACACUGGAACUGAGACACGGUCCAGACACCUACGGGUGGCAGCAGUCGAGAAUUUUUCUCAAUGGGGGAAACCCUGAAGGAGCGACGCCGCGUGGAGGAUGAAGGUCUUCGGAUUGUAAACUUCUGUCAUUGGUGAACAAAGCCCUCGGAGUAACUGCCGUUGGGUUUGAUAGUAGCCGAAGAGGAAGAGACGGCUAACUCUGUGCCAGCAGCCGCGGUAAUACAGAGGUCUCAAGCGUUGCUCGGAUUCAUUGGGCGUAAAGGGUGCGUAGGUGGCGAGGCAAGUCUGGUGUGAAAUCCCGGGGCUCAACCCCGGAACUGCACUGGAUACUGCUUUACUAGAGUACUGGAGAGGGAACUGGAAUUUACGGUGUAGCAGUGAAAUGCGUAGAUAUCGUAAGGAAGACCAGUGGCGAAGGCGAGUUCCUGGACAGUUACUGACGCUGAGGCACGAAGGCCAGGGGAGCAAACGGGAUUAGAUACCCCGGUUAUCCUGGAAAAAACGGUGCCCGUUUGGGGGGUGGAAGAAUCGACCCCUUCCGUGCCGGAGCUAACGCGUUAAACGCGCCGCCUGGGGAGUACGGUCGCAAGAUUAAAACUCAAAGAAAUUGACGGGGGCCCGCACAA